GAUGAAGAACGUAGCGAAAUGCGAUAAGUAGUGUGAAUUGCAGAAUUCAGUGAAUCAUCGAAUCUUUGAACGCACAUUGCGCCCUUUGGUAUUCCUUAGGGCGUGCCUGUUCGAGCGUCAUUUAAACCUUCAAGCUCAGCUUGGUGAUGGGUGACUGUCCUCCCCUCGCGGGGGGACUCGCCUCAAAAACAUUGGCGGCCGGUACAUUGGCUUCGAGCGCAGCAGAAACGCGGUAUCGAGUCCGGUGGAUCGGCUCCCAUAAGUCUAUUCUUUUAUUUUGACCUCGGAUCAGGUAGGGAUACCCGCUGAACUUAAGCAUAUCAAUAAGCGGAGGA
Molecule: unclassified non-coding RNA, 335 nt
Filed under: soil metagenome
Description: partial contains 5.8S ribosomal RNA, internal transcribed spacer 2, and large subunit ribosomal RNA
Rfam family: 5.8S ribosomal RNA (bases 1-120)
Source: RNAcentral